This is a non-coding RNA of Psilocybe cubensis, 110 nucleotides long. NCBI's taxonomy places the organism in Eukaryota, Fungi, Basidiomycota, Agaricomycetes, Agaricales, Agrocybaceae. The record is from the annotation of a RefSeq genome assembly.
GGCGCUAUAGCCAAGUGGUUACGGCGACAGAUUCGAAUUGAGUUAGUGUCCACCAACUCGUUGUUAUCUGUUCCUCUUUGAGGGCGCAGGUUCAAAUCCUGCUGGCGUCG